AUUUUUAUAGUGUAAAAAAACACAUUACAUUUUCAUUGUAAAACUAGAAACCCCUUUUCUUAAAAAUA
RNAcentral lists this transfer RNA (68 nucleotides) under Pentacheles laevis. Its description in RNAcentral is "tRNA-Glu". Lineage: Eukaryota; Metazoa; Arthropoda; Malacostraca; Decapoda; Polychelidae. The record is from RNAcentral.